Molecule: long non-coding RNA, 2231 nt
Filed under: Olea europaea subsp. europaea
Lineage: Eukaryota; Viridiplantae; Streptophyta; Magnoliopsida; Lamiales; Oleaceae
Source: RNAcentral
AAAGAACCAGAACGCGGAAAAAAACUCUCCUUUUCUUCCAAACUGUGCACGAGAGAAGCGUGAGAGAACCGCCGCCUUCUUCCUCAAAAAUCGACCACCACCCACCACCUAGACCACCAGACCCUACUUCCAUUCAAACCUCCUCGCCUCUCUCUUUAACCUCUUGUCAUCACCUGGCCACGGAGUUGUUGAAAACAACCCCAAUCACCACCCAAAACCACGCUAACAGUCACCGUUUUCGUCGUAUUUCCACUGUUGGCGACCACCAUUUCGAUCGCGAACCAUGACGACUUCACCCUUCUCAACCAGGCGCAUCCAGUACCACCAUGGGUCACCUGCAAUUUUGUCCAAAAUCGUGUGUGCUUGUGAAAGCAGUCCGUGAGUUGUGAAAUAGAUUUGAUCCCAACAAAACUGAUGAAAUUUUAUUGACAGGUAAGCAUUUCUUUUUUUGUUUAACUUUCGAAUAACCCUGAAGCUUCAAAAUGGCACCCAAAGUUCUAAUGGUAAGCACAUUUAAAAAUUAUCCAAAUCUUCUUACUUCAAUCUCAAGAAUUUUUGUAAUUUGCUUUCGUUCAGGUAUUUUUCACCAACUUGUAUAUGUGUAUGUAUGAUGUAUGUGUAUAUGGUGUUUGUGAUUUUUAGGUAGCAGAGAAGUCAAGCAUUGCUCUCUCAAUUGCGUUGGUACUCUUUGGCGGUCAAGUAUGCUCUUUUUUUUUUUUUUUUUUUUUUUUUUAAAUUACUGUUUUCUGUGGUAAUGACCUAAACAUUUCUGUUGCUAUUAGAAGGCUGUUCUGUUUUUAUUUGCUUUCAACGUUUCUAGAGAAAUUAAUACAGAAGAAUAGUGUGUUUGCAAGUGAUUCCACAAAUUGGUGCCAAGGCAUGGUGUUUUUGGAGCUGUUUUAAUGAGGGAAGAAAUGGGAAAAUGAAAUAAUGGGUUGAAUUUGGGGACAAAUUUCUCGUCUUACCUGGGCACCGCCCCACUUCAUGAUAUUCGAAAAAUGCUGUCUUUCUUUAUUUUGUGAGAUAUAAUUUGUUGUUUGGAUAGGCUUUAUUGUGGGACUUGGAUAUUGGACCAUAGCUGAGAUGACUCUAUCCUCUAGUUUAAGGCACUGCUUUCUGGUAGUUUAUGAUAUGGCAUGCUGGAGUGUCAAUGAGUUAUUGUGGACUGAGCUUCCGCUUUAUACUAGAAACAAAGCUUGAACUCUAAAAGCUGAGCUUGGACGAACCUGAUCUUGACCAUGUCAAGUCUAUAGAAUGAGUAAUUACUGGAAUGGUAUUGCUAUUAUGCAUUUGCUUAUUUCUAGAAUGAGUCACUUGGUUCCUUUUAAAUUGCUUGUGAAGUUCCUUGUGAAAUUCACUUAAGCUCAUUAUCAACUUGUUUGUGUGCUCUAUUUACCAAUAACUCUGAAAAGUACUUUGAAUAAAGGAGCUUAUUUCAUUACAGAUAUUGCCCCAGAGGGGUGGUACUGAGGUCCAUGAGUUUGAUGGAAAUUUUUUUGGGAUUUUCUGCACAAUAUAAAGUGAUCUCUGUGAUCGGUCAUGUUUUCAGGUUUUUAAGAUUCUUCUUAACUUCAAGGCUAUCUUUUUGGAUAUUGUCAGUAGUCAUAAUGCUUAAACUGGUAUUCUUUGCUUUGUCAUAUGAUAAAUGCAUAGUGCCCAUGAAUUUUAACAAUAUAAUUGUGAAAAUAGCACCAAUUUACAUGCUCAUCAUGCCCAUGAGAAGAAAGUGAAUAAAAACUACGUCGAAAAUGCAAGAUCGAUAAAUAGAUUGCACUGUUAAGCAAGAAUACUCCUAAAUACUAGGCUGAUAAGGAACUACACGUUAACAAUUAUCUCGAGAACUCCAUGCAGAAAAUACAUUUGUUAUAAUCAAAGCCUAAAAGAAGUCAACACAUACUGUACGAGCUGAGAUUCAUCUGUCUAACUAAUGUGAUUUGGAAUGCCAUGCUGUGAUUUGGCAUAACUCGUUUAAAAUUCUGCUUCUUUUUAAAGUUUCUUUUGGUAACAUUAAGGCCUCUACUUGACCUUCCAUGUAAUGGUUUGAUAGUGUCUCAUAUUAGUGUAAGGCUACUAUCACUGCUAUUGGUUCUUAAUUUGUGCAGCUUCAGUUUGGCCAGAAUUUAUCUUUUUCUCAAUGAAACUAGAUUGUAAAUGAAAAGCACAAAUAGGCAAUGUAUGUAUUACUUCCUUCGACUGGAGUUGUAGUGGAUAUAAAACUUGAUUGUGAGUAU